ACAGGUUUCCCUAACAGAGAUCCCAAAGAUCUAGAAAUUGGGGUUUAAAAGCUACUAGCUUCCAACCUGUAUGAGCUUAGAGAGUUAUAUUUAUUUACAAUGGUAAUUUAAAAAAUUGUGCAGAAAUAUGAUAUAUGCAGAGGUUUACGAUGCUAACUCAGGUCUCAGGUUGAAUCUCAAGGUGCAGGGCACAAUGUAAAAGCACAUAAAAAAGGUUUGAAGUCUUAUUUCUUCAGUAUUUAAAUUUGAAGAGCUUGCCAACAUUCUGAUUUCUCUCUCUUAAUUAUCUAUGUAUACACAAUAUUCAUUGUGAAAUACUGUAUGUUAGACGUAACAAUAUCCUUAGAACACAUAAUUUGAUCUAUUAGAUUUAGUCGGGUAUAUAUGGGAGUUAAUCUAUGAGAUUAAAGCUAUUACUGCAUCUGCAGCAUAUAAAGGUAUUUGUCACUUCCCUUUGUUUAUCAUUUCGAUGAUUGAUUGAUUUUUAUUUAUUUUUUAUGUGGGUGGCAGCUACUGGAGAAAAAGUCAUGGUUUGUACUACUCAUCUCUUAUACUGGUAGGGAACAUCGUCCCUCUAGUAUUUUUUUCUUUUUAAUAUUUGUCCGAUACUUAAAUCCUGAGCUUUUUAAAUUUAACAAAGAUAAUAACAAGCUUCAUUUCAUGGAACAUCUUUGUGAGGGUCAGUUUCUUAUAUAAAAAAAAUAGAGGGUCAGUUAUCCUGAGAAAUGAUGCUUAGCUUAUAAGUUUUGAAGAUAUAGUGAUCAGCACAGAGGUUCCCGGCCACUGGUGUGGGUGAUUUCACUUAAUGCUAUGUAUCCUAUUUUUGACAACUUAGUUUCACAUUUUGGAAUUUGUAAGGAAAGGUAAUUUGUAAUUCUAAAAAAUUGUGACUUGGUUAAAAUUUAGUGGACAAUUCUUAUAUAAAGGCUUGAAAUUGAGUUGUUGAACAUAACUUAAGCUAAUUUAGAAUUUCCUCAUCAUUUAAUGAUUUGAUAAUAAGAGGUAACAAUUCGUCGGUGGUGCAAACAUUUUUCUAUAAUAUGCAAUUAUGCACGGUCCAUUAGGUAGGAAUGUGCUUUUUUAGUAGUCCAUGCUUGAAAAGUGGAAGCAGAAUAAUACUCCUACUAUUUUGAAAAGGCAUCUUGACUUUUAUAGACUUUUUAUGUCAUAAAUCUUUAAAUUAAUGUAGACUGUGAUACCAUAUGCUUUUGUGCUUUAAUUGAUUGGUGUUAGAUUUAUGAGUUUCUAAAAGUAAGAUCACUAAAACUUUAAUUCUGCUUACAAUUCCAAAAAAUGUGGGGGACACUAAAAGGUAAUAAUCAAUGGGGGCUCAUUACGUCUGGACUUCUCCUUGCAUUUUGUAGGCUGUACCAUAGGACUCUUAUCUGCUCUCUGAACUUUCUUGUCUUCAUGAAGUCCAAUAAUUGAAUGUACCUUUUUAUAGCUGGCUUUGAGUAUGAUACUUCUUCCUCUUUCUUUGGUCAGUUAAUUAGAAUUAAAUAUAAAGAAAAGGGAUUAUUUAUUAUCUUGGUUUUAGCACUUUUGAUUUCUUGACUAUUAUGAAGCUUCAAGAACUGAAGGAAAAGCCUGACCUUGGUUGGCUUAGGAUACAGGGGGAAGGCAAUUGAAAAAUAUGGAAUUUCAAUGAAUUUUAGGGAUUGAUAUGAGCUAUUUUUAUACUAUUGGGUCAUAAUUAGAGUAUCAACUAGUUUGUUUCUGGAUUUAUGUGUCUCUCAUUAUCUCAUAUUUAUUCAACUUUUAAUUUGGUAAGAACCAACUUGUGUCUAAUUGGUAACAACAACAAUGAUUCUCUUACUGUGGGGUCUCCUAUCAGUAUUAUACUAUACCAUACAUACAUACAUACAUAUAUAUAUAUAUAUAUAUAUAUAUAUAUAUAUAUUCUUGUCUCUAUAAAAAAGUUGGAAAAAAUAGCAAGUUGCUUCACCACACUGCAAUAAGCAUUUUUUACACUAUUGUCUGUAGAAUCUCUCUAGUGCCUAGGUUGUUUUUAUUACUUUUGUGAUGUUUGUGUGAUCUAGAAGAUGGAUACUGUAGAGGUGUCAAAAUUAAGGACUAAGUCUUAUGAAGAUCAAAACCGGGGAAAGUUACCAACAUGUCUCACAACUAGCCGAAAUAUGGUUCAGGAAACAUGUAGAUCCCUAUAUACCUUAGAUAUUUUGGUAACUUAAUUAGGAGUAUGUGACAAUUGACAUGGUACUGGAUUAUUUUUUUAUAUUUUAUGUUCGUCAUUAUAGAUCGUUGAUUCUGGUGCCAUUAGGUUUAGAAGAAUGCGAAUAAAUUGUUUGCAAUAAAACUGCUGUUGUUGAAUUUAUAGCUGACCUAAUCUUGUGCUGCUUUAGAAAAUGCUGCAACUUUCAUAGUUUUAAAGGUUGAAUUCACAUUAUGGGAGAAUGAUGAUUUAGCUUACUUAAUUAUCAAAUGUAGAGGUGGUCUGGAAUUAAAAGAAAAUGCCAUUCAACAACGAAACAAAGUCAUUAAAAAAAUUAACUGAGGGACUUGAAUUUCUUCUCAUAUUCAGCUCCCAUUUAACUUUAUAUUUGUUGGUCUUAAAAAAGCUUAAUUUUACAGGUCAUUAAUUUGUUAUUAGCUUGACACUCAAGCUUGGCAUAAUACUAGCUGAAUAAGGUUCUCACCUUCCCUUUACUCUAGUGGGAAGCAAAAGACAUAUCCUUUACUUGAGAACAAUAACACAACUUCAACGUCCUUGUAAACAAAUACAAGUCAGAUCCUCAAAAUAUAUAGAACUUAGAAUCAAAGUUAAAAUAAGAAAAAUAAAUACAGCUUGUGUGAUUUUUUUGAGAGUAAAAGGACUAGGAAACCCUAAUAGCAUCCCAAAUUAUACCCUUUAGAAUUAUGAAGUUUCCUUUAUCUUAGAGAGCUUAAUUUUGAGUUGACCAAACUAGAACAAAAUGAGUAUCAAUACUGAGUACUGUAAGAGAACCAAUACAUUAUGUCAUGAAUGAGAAAAGGGUUUAUUAUCUUUUUUCCAAAGAAAAUUGUGUGUGUAUAUAUAUGUAUGUAUUAUAAACACUUUUUUUCUUUCAGUAAUUGACAUUCCUAUAUGUGAAAAGCAUGUUUAGGGUGGUGUAUAAAGUGGACUCCGUGUCAUGUGACCCAAAGAAAGAAUCUCUUUUCAUCCAUCCUUACCUAUAUAUAUAAUGAAUAGCGCAUGAAAUAUAAUGAAUGGUCAUAUAUGGAUUCAAAGCCUCUCUCUCUCUCAUGAAUGGUUGUGGGGAAUGUCGUUUGGUUCGAGAUCUUUCAUUAGACUUGGGUAUCAUGAAUGAUUUCGGACCAGGCUUCAUUCCCCUCAACUUUGAGUACAUGAGCAAAUCUGUAAUUGUGACAAAAAAUGGCUUCUUUGUUGUAUUGCUAGAGCCACUGGUACUCUGCGUUUAGCUUGUUCUUGUUCCUGGCUGCGUAUGCAAUCGGUAAAACAUGUAUAGUCCUAAUGAUUACAGGUAGGAGGUUAUCAAGAACAUAGAAUGCAUGCAUGUCGCCAAACAAUGUAAAGGUAGCUACCAGGAUCUGUCAAUCAGGGAGGCUGCAUUUUAGCAUUAUUAUUAUUAUUAUUUAGUUUGAACUCCUCUGUUUUUUUAUUGGUGACAAGAUAUAUCAACCUUUUGACCUCUCUUUCUUGUUGGGUUGUUACAAAUGGUAUGUGAGCAGGUUGUUGAGCGGUCCGGAGCAAAGUGGUAUUUGCCAAGUGGUACACCCCAAGGGGGUGUAAGCCAUCUCUACAAACAGGAGCCAACUUCUGAAUCUCCCAUCGGCUAGAGAGGCAACAGUUAUGUGAUACUCCCUCCGUUGUUUAUUUGUGUUUUUAGAGAGUGAAAUUUGUUUUUGUUUUUUUGUCAUUUGUAGAUUUGAAGGACUUCAUUUCUCAUAUUAUCCAUACAUAUAUUAAAUACUAAUUUGUUUCUCUUUUUCAAUGAAUUUUAGAAGGGUAAUAUUGAGAUUUUAUAACCAUUUUAGUCGAUCAAACAAAGCAUUAAUUGCAUUUCUUAAUGUGUGUGUGUGUGUGUUUAUUUGAACUCCACCAUAAACUAAAGUGUCUUUUAUCCCAAACUUAGGUAGAUGAAUUUAGAAGCGGAACCUUGCAGAGUCGGGUGUCCUGUGUAAUAGUAGACGUCAAUUUAGG
RNAcentral lists this long non-coding RNA (4159 nucleotides) under Panax ginseng (ginseng). RNAcentral describes it as "long non-coding RNA (PGIN_LNC000860)". The stretch from base 3248 to 3333 matches the Rfam family "mir-166 microRNA precursor family". The record is from RNAcentral. Lineage: Eukaryota; Viridiplantae; Streptophyta; Magnoliopsida; Apiales; Araliaceae.